RNAcentral lists this long non-coding RNA (741 nucleotides) under Nicotiana tabacum (common tobacco). RNAcentral describes it as "long non-coding RNA (NTAB_LNC010746)". The record is from RNAcentral. Lineage: Eukaryota; Viridiplantae; Streptophyta; Magnoliopsida; Solanales; Solanaceae.
CACUGCAGGCUAGCAACUGCCAAAUAAAUAUCAAGCUCUCUUCAGCAAAGCUGUUCAACAGAAACCUCCAUUCCACUUAAAGUAACACAAGCAAACACUGAAAUGAACUCAAUCCAACAUGUGACAGACAAGUACAGUUAUACACAGCACAAUUGUCUUCAAGGAUAACAACCUGUAAUGCCUAACAAAUGGUAAAACCCCAAAAUGGAAACUAGAACUUCAUAGGUCCAUGGACUCUAUUCCUUCACUUCCCACCAUCCCUAGCAUGUGAAAAGUCCAGUGGACUCGUCUGCAGCAGAGAAAACCUGUAUACAAGUACCAUUGUAAGCUGCAAAGCAGGAACCUUUUAACCUGCAAAAACUUGGAAUGCAUAAGAUUAAUCUUCUAAGAAUGACAAACUCUAACAGUAUCCUGGAAAGAGAGAAGCCUCGAUACUGUAGGCAAUUAACAAAGCUAAGAUCGGCUUAUAAUUAUAGAAGGGAUAAAUUUUCAACUCACAAUCAUCCUAUAAAAUGCUUCAUCUUUAUUUCAGGAAGAGUAAACCUAGGAGGAAAGGGAAAACCAUUUGACCAUAGGACCUAAAGCUAAAAAAACCAUUUUAUCUAUUUCGAUAAGGAAAACAGUCAUUUACCAAUUAACAUGUGAUAUUUUACUGCUGUUUGGGGUUACCUAAAUUAGAAAAAUAGUAGUCAGCAAGAGACAGGAAGAAAAAGACACUGGAAGAUUAACAUGAGAUUUUGA